UACAGAGGUCUCAAGCGUUGUUCGGAUUCAUUGGGCGUAAAGGGUGCGUAGGUGGCGUCGUAAGUCGGGUGUGAAAUUUCGGAGCUUAACUCCGAAACUGCAUUCGAUACUGCGGUGCUUGAGGACUGGAGAGGAGACUGGAAUUUACGGUGUAGCAGUGAAAUGCGUAGAGAUCAUGAGGAAGACCAGUGGCGAAGGCGGGUCUCUGGACCAUAACUGACGCUGAGAAGCGAAAGCAUGGGGAGCGAACAGG
RNAcentral lists this ribosomal RNA (253 nucleotides) under uncultured bacterium. Its description in RNAcentral is "partial 16S ribosomal RNA". It matches the Rfam family "Bacterial small subunit ribosomal RNA", at positions 524 to 776 of the family's 1533-position model. The record is from RNAcentral.